CCAGACUCCUACGGGAGGCAGCAGUAAGGGAUGUUGGUCAAUGGGGGAAACCCUGAACCAGCAACGCCGCGUGAGGGAAGACGGUUUUCGGAUUGUAAACCUCUGUCCUCUGUGAAGAUGAUGACGGUAGCAGAGGAGGAAGCUCCGGCUGACUACGUGCCAGCAGCCGCGGUAAUACGUAGGGAGCGAGCGUUAUCCGGAUUUAUUGGGUUUAAAGGGUGCGUAGGCGGUAUUUUAAGUUAGUGGUAAAACGUCGGGGCUUCACCUUGAUUGGCCAUUAAAACUGGAGUACUAGAGUACAGACGAGGUAGGCGGAAUAAGUUAAGUAGCGGUGAAAUGCUUAGAUAUAACUUAGAACCCCGAUAGCGAAGGCAGCUUACCAGACUGUUACUGACGCUGAAGCACGAGAGCGUGGGUAGCGAACAGGAUUAGAUACCCUAGUA
This 443-nucleotide ribosomal RNA is filed under the name uncultured bacterium. RNAcentral's name for it is "partial 16S ribosomal RNA". It matches the Rfam family "Bacterial small subunit ribosomal RNA", at positions 331 to 792 of the family's 1533-position model. The record is from RNAcentral.